This 233-nucleotide unclassified non-coding RNA is filed under the name Hevea brasiliensis (rubber tree). The record is from RNAcentral. Lineage: Eukaryota; Viridiplantae; Streptophyta; Magnoliopsida; Malpighiales; Euphorbiaceae.
UGGUGAACCACUUUGUCCAGGAAUUUAAAAGAAAGCACAAGAAGGAUAUCACCGGUAACCCUAGGGCCCUUAGAAGAUUGAGGACAGCUUGUGAAAGAGCAAAAAGAACUCUUUCCUCCACUGCCCAGACAACAAUCGAAAUUGAUUCCCUAUAUGAGGGAGUUGACUUCUAUUCAACCAUUACUCGUGCCAGAUUUGAGGAGUUAAACAUGGAUCUUUUCAGGAAGUGUAUG